GCCUGACUGGCUCAGUCGGUAGAGCAUAGGACUCUUGAUCUUGGUGUCAGGAGUUCAAGCCCCAUGUGGGGCA
This 73-nucleotide transfer RNA is filed under the name Felis catus (domestic cat). It matches the Rfam family "tRNA". Rfam says of the family: Transfer RNA (tRNA) molecules are approximately 80 nucleotides in length. Lineage: Eukaryota; Metazoa; Chordata; Mammalia; Carnivora; Felidae. The record is from Rfam by way of RNAcentral.